This 483-nucleotide unclassified non-coding RNA is filed under the name air metagenome. RNAcentral's name for it is "partial contains small subunit ribosomal RNA, internal transcribed spacer 1, and 5.8S ribosomal RNA". The record is from RNAcentral.
AAGUCGUAACAAGGUUUCCGUAGCAGUUCACUUGCUGAAGCCUUUCGCAGCGACGUUAAACAAAUGCGCAGUCUGCCCAAGCAGGCUACACCAUCCAAAUGCUGGAAAUUGUAGGCCUUGUGCCAUAGUACCAGCAGCCAGAUGCCAGCUCAUCUGGUUCACAGAUCAAUUGAUGGUGGUCAGUUUCAGUGGGAGAGAUCCCGCUUGAUGAUUAAGAUAUGACCGGUCUCAGCUGUCACAGCUGCGGAGAAAAUGUUCCGUAGGUGAACCUGCGGAAGGAUCAUUACCGAGCAAGGGUCUUUAUGGCCCAAACUCCCACCCUGUGUUUAUAUACCUUUGUUGCUUUGGCGGUGCUUGCGGGCUUUAGCCCCGCCGGCGAUACCCGCCGGACGCCCGCCAGAGGUUUCCUACAAAUCUGUUAACGUGCCGUCUAAGUCAGUAUACAAAUCGUUAAAACUUUCAACAACGGAUCUCUUGGUUCUG